This 765-nucleotide ribosomal RNA is filed under the name Triticum aestivum (bread wheat). RNAcentral's name for it is "partial small subunit ribosomal RNA". Lineage: Eukaryota; Viridiplantae; Streptophyta; Magnoliopsida; Poales; Poaceae. The record is from RNAcentral.
AUGGAUGUUCAUAUUUCCAAGGUCGUGAAAUAUGUCGUGCUGGCUGCGCAGCCUUGCCAAUACCAGGACAUCUUCAUGCCGGAUAAUGAGAAUAUCAACUCUGAAGCUCAACUUGUAGUUGAUCCAGGAAAGCACAACAUGGGUAUCGAGAAGCCACAACAGCCGAACAAGCAAGGGCAUGAUGGCAUAAACAUUUACAAUGAGGUCUGCUUCGCUGUUAACUCUGGAAAUGAUAAUCGAUAUAACUACUGUGAAUCCACGAAAAAUGGAAAUUAUAAUCACAGUGGUAAUCCAGUUGACGAGUUGGAUGACCUUUGGAAGGACAUGUCGGUUGAACUGGCAUGUUGGAAGGCCAUUGGAAGUGAUCACACUACUGUUUCGUCGAAGAUGAAUAGUUCUGAAGUAGUGGAUGAUUGUUAUCAUGACUUCCUGAUGAAAGAUGAUUUGGGCAUUGUGUGCCGUGUUUGUGGUUUGGUCCAGCAACACAUCAGGAAUAUUUUUGAGUUGCAGUGGAAAAAGUGGAGCCACAUCUCUUAUUUCCUCUUUCUUGCAGCAGCGCAACCAAUCACACACCCAGAAGCUGCAAUGAUCUGGAGGCAACUACCAAUCCUUCAGGAGAUAAUUCCUCAAGUAGUCCCUGGUGCUCUAUCAAUCCACCCUCAGCAUUCAGAACAGAUGAAACCUCACCAAGCAGAUAAGAACAACCCCUGGAGGUUGUAUUCUAGCACAUGCACCAGGUUCUGGAAAGACUUUCAUGCUAAUUAG